Molecule: long non-coding RNA, 120 nt
Organism: Cyclopterus lumpus (lumpfish)
Lineage: Eukaryota; Metazoa; Chordata; Actinopteri; Perciformes; Cyclopteridae
Exons: 3
Source: RefSeq, a predicted model, not a curated record
GCCUGGUUCAUUGCUGCCAGUGAUGUUGGUGAUCCAGUCCUGAAGAUUUGUAGGUAACAAAGCCUGGUUCAUUGCUGCCAGUGAUGUUGGUGAUCCAGUCCUGGUACUGGGACACACGGG